This 393-nucleotide ribosomal RNA is filed under the name uncultured bacterium. RNAcentral's name for it is "bacterial SSU rRNA". It matches the Rfam family "Bacterial small subunit ribosomal RNA", at positions 29 to 402 of the family's 1533-position model. The record is from RNAcentral.
AACGAACGCUGGCGGCGUGCCUAACACAUGCAAGUCGUGCGAGAAAGUUCCUUCGGGAGCGAGUAAAGCGGCGCACGGGUGAGUAACACGUAGGUAACCUGCCCCCCAGUCUGGAACAACUAGAGGAAACUCUAGCUAAUGCCGGAUGAGACCACGAUCCCUUCGGGGGUUGCGGCCAAAGAUGGCCUCUACUUGUAAGCUAUCGCUGAGGGAUGGGCCUGCGGGCCAUUAGCUUGUUGGUGAGGUAACGGCUCACCAAGGCUGUGAUGGCUAGCUGGUCUGAGAGGAUGACCAGCCACACUGGGACUGAGACACGGCCCAGACCUCCGUACGGGAGGCAGCAGGUGGGAAUAUUGCGCAAGUGGGACGAAGCCUGACGCAGCGACGCCGCGU